This 496-nucleotide ribosomal RNA is filed under the name uncultured bacterium. Its description in RNAcentral is "partial 16S ribosomal RNA". It matches the Rfam family "Bacterial small subunit ribosomal RNA", at positions 28 to 507 of the family's 1533-position model. The record is from RNAcentral.
GAUGAACGCUGGCGGCGUGCCUAAUACAUGCAAGUCGAGCGAACGGACGAGAAGCUUGCUUCUCUGAUGUUAGCGGCGGACGGGUGAGUAACACGUGGAUAACCUACCUAUAAGACUGGGAUAACUUCGGGAAACCGGAGCUAAUACCGGAUAAUAUUUUGAACCGCAUGGUUCAAAAGUGAAAGACGGUCUUGCUGUCACUUAUAGAUGGAUCCGCGCUGCAUUAGCUAGUUGGUAAGGUAACGGCUUACCAAGGCAACGAUGCAUAGCCGACCUGAGAGGGUGAUCGGCCAAACUGGAAAUGAGACACGGUCCAGAAUCCCACGGGAGGCAGGAGGAGGGAAUCUUCCGGAAUGGCGAAAGCCUGACGGAGCAACGCCGCGUGAGUGAUGAAGGUCUUCGGAUCGUAAAACUCUGUUAUUAGGGAAGAACAUAUGUGUAAGUAACUGUGCACAUCUUGACGGUACCUAAUCAGAAAGCCACGGCUAACUACGUG